Molecule: ribosomal RNA, 294 nt
Filed under: Triticum aestivum (bread wheat)
Lineage: Eukaryota; Viridiplantae; Streptophyta; Magnoliopsida; Poales; Poaceae
Description: partial small subunit ribosomal RNA
Source: RNAcentral
AUGUGCGUGCGGAUCUCCCGCGACUCCUACCCCAACCUCCACGCCCUCCACAACGCCUCCAACGACAGCCUCACUGACGCUGCCUACGUCAAGAUCUCCGAGGGCGACUUCGGAUACGUCCUCGACGACGUGCCCCACCUCCCCGACUACCUCCCCGUGAGCAGCCACCCCUCCCCUCCCCUGCUCCUCCUCGCUCGACCGCUCGUAAUUGUCCGGCGCGGGGGAUUACCCAUUUUUGAGCGUGCAGUGUGCCUGAUUAGUCGGCCACGAUCCACAGAUAGAAGGCAACUCUGA